AAGUCGUAACAAGGUUUCCGUAGGUGAACCUGCGGAAGGAUCAUUAAUGAAAUGUUAGGACGCUCUUUUUAGAGGUCCGACCCACAUCAUUACCUUCAACACUGUGCACAUACUACUUUUUACACCAUUUUUAUAACACAUCAGUCUAAGAAUGUAAAACAAGUCUCGAAAGAGCAAUAAACAAAACAAAA
This 191-nucleotide unclassified non-coding RNA is filed under the name plant metagenome. RNAcentral describes it as "partial contains small subunit ribosomal RNA and internal transcribed spacer 1". The stretch from base 1 to 46 matches the Rfam family "Eukaryotic small subunit ribosomal RNA", at positions 1786 to 1831 of the family's 1831-position model. The record is from RNAcentral.